AAGUCGUAACAAGGUUUCCGUAGGUGAACCUGCGGAAGGAUCAUUACAGAGUUCCUGCCCCCUGGGUAGAUCUCCACCCUUGUGUAUCUUACACUGUUGCUUUGGCAGGCCGCCCUCGGGCCACCGGCGUCAGCUGGUGAGCGCCUGCCAGAGAACCCACGAACCCAUAUUACCAGCGUCGUCGGAGUCUAAAUGUAAUCAUUUAAAACUUUCAACAACGGAUCUCUUGGUUCUG
This 235-nucleotide unclassified non-coding RNA is filed under the name fungal sp. RNAcentral describes it as "partial internal transcribed spacer region". The stretch from base 1 to 46 matches the Rfam family "Eukaryotic small subunit ribosomal RNA", at positions 1786 to 1831 of the family's 1831-position model. Lineage: Eukaryota; Fungi. RNAcentral also lists the same sequence under 2 other names. The record is from RNAcentral.